Molecule: ribosomal RNA, 468 nt
Filed under: uncultured bacterium
Lineage: Bacteria
Description: partial 16S ribosomal RNA
Rfam family: Bacterial small subunit ribosomal RNA
Source: RNAcentral
GACGAACGCUGGCGGCGUGCUUAACACAUGCAAGUCGAACGGAAAGGCCCUGCUUUUGUGGGGUGCUCGAGUGGCGAACGGGUGAGUAACACGUGAGUAACCUGCCCUUGACUUUGGGAUAACUUCAGGAAACUGGGGCUAAUACCGGAUAGGAGCUCCUGCUGCAUGGUGGGGGUUGGAAAGUUUCGGCGGUUGGGGAUGGACUCGCGGCUUAUCAGCUUGUUGGUGGGGUAGUGGCUUACCAAGGCUUUGACGGGUAGCCGGCCUGAGAGGGUGACCGGCCACAUUGGGACUGAGAUACGGCCCAGACUCCUACGGGAGGCAGCAGUGGGGAAUAUUGCACAAUGGGUGGAAGCCUGAUGCAGCAACGCCGCGUGCGGGAUGACGGCCUUCGGGUUGUAAACCGCUUUCGCCUGUGACGAAGCGUGAGUGACGGUAAUGGGUAAAGAAGCACCGGCUAACUACGCG